AAAAAAAAAAGUAUGAGCAAAUAGCACAACAUACCAACUAAGAAAUCGGAAUUCUCUUUGGUUUCCAAAAGUUGAGUGAAUGGAUAGAUUGUAAGAGCAGAUUUUGGAAUAAAAUCGCAGAUAGCAUCCCUAACAGUGGUUCUGAACUGGAAAAUCAACUUAAACUGAUGCCUAGUGGCCCUAUAAGAUCCUUGGUUUGGCACAACAGAGAAGAGCUUCAUUACAUAUACUCGACCCUCGGAGAGAAGUUGUUUG
This 255-nucleotide long non-coding RNA is filed under the name Arachis ipaensis. Its description in RNAcentral is "long non-coding RNA (AIPA_LNC000781)". Lineage: Eukaryota; Viridiplantae; Streptophyta; Magnoliopsida; Fabales; Fabaceae. The record is from RNAcentral.